Oncorhynchus kisutch (coho salmon) is the source of this 2558-nucleotide RNA transcript. It is a transcript of the gene named glucose-induced degradation protein 4 homolog, with no coding region annotated. The record is from RefSeq and is a predicted model, not a curated record. The transcript has 6 exons. NCBI's taxonomy places the organism in Eukaryota, Metazoa, Chordata, Actinopteri, Salmoniformes, Salmonidae.
GUCUGUGGUUCAUGACUGUUGCAGUCGGGGAUACGCACGCAUUAGCGCUCAUCAUGCCUGUUCGAGCUGAGUGCUGCAGCAGUGCGGCCCGUACAUCCUCGGCUCUCUUAUCCCUCCUCCGCCGAUCAACACGCACCAGCCAGGGGUAGCUACUUCGCUGCUGUACAGCGGUUCACAGUUUCGAGGACAUCAGAAGAGCAAAGAAACUCGUAUGAUGUGGAGGUCGUUUUGCAGCAUGUGACCAUGGAGGACUCUUAUCUGUGUGGUUACCUGAAGAUCAAAGGCCUAACUGAGGAGUAUCCCACUCUUACAACGUUCUUCGCAGGAGAGAUCAUCAGUAGAAAGAGGCCCUUUUUAACCAGGAAGUGGGACGCCGACGAAGAUGUGGACCGCAAGCACUGGGGUAAGUUUCAGGCUUUUUAUCAGUAUGCAAAGAGCUUCAACUUGGACGACUUUGAUUACGAAGAGCUGAAGAACAGUGACUUUGUCUUUAUGAGGUGGAAGGAGCAGUUCCUGGUCCCGGACCACACCAUUAAAGACAUCAGUGGGGCGUCCUUCGCUGGUUUCUACUAUAUCUGCUUCCAGAAGUCCACAGCCACCAUUGAAGGCUACUACUACCACAGAAGCUCUGAAUGGUACCAGUCGUUAAACCUCACCCAUGUCCAGGAACACAGUAUGCCCAUCUACGAGUUCCGGUGAUACCCGCCUGCUGGCAGAGGACUUUGAUUGGCACUGCCCUAGAGACUUGCUCAUGGAGGGGAGAUGAACUGACCAAUCAUGCCAAGGAUGUACCUAUCAGUAUUCCCUGGCGAAAGGGAGAGAACAAUGGAAGGAGGGAGGGAUAGACAAAGAACAAGGCCACCGACCGACAGUUUUUCCCAGCCUGCCUUUCUCGACUUUGCAUCAGCUGGGAUCAACAGCACUUUUUCUUUGGUUGUUUUCUCUUCCCCACUCUUUCUCCAUUCAGCUUCCUGUUUCUGAAGCUACUUUUCCUCUUUCCACCAUGUUGAAAAUGCUUUCCACUUUUCAGUUGGGAAUCCCCCCCAGCCCCUCUGAAAAUGGGUCCCCCAGCAGUCUAAGAUUUAAGUACAAAGUUUGAUAUUGCAUUUUAAUUUGUCUCAAUGAAUUGAGGCCUGAUUGAGAUUGACCGAGCUACAGAGUGGGCAAGCAAUCCUGAAAAGAUGGAUCUCCAUAAGGUAUUGAGGUGUGACAUCAUCAAGGGUGUGCUCAACAGAAGAUUGAUGGUCAAUGAUCUGCCAUGAUGCAAGAUUUGACGGCUUAGGCGGAUGACGUCUUGGUGAAGGUUGAUAUUUGAAGGCAGGGCAUAAUCAGAUGUGUGUUGUGGGCUAUUGAAACACAUACCACACCGAUGGCUACUUUAAAUCUGUCCUCUCUCUGAGAUGGUGGAGUCGACAUCGUCUGACCUAUAGAGGGAGUCCCCAGCCCUAGUUCAUAUUGGCAGGCUGCUGUUACUGCUGCUUUUUGAAAAGCCUCUCCUACCGUUCCCUGCCUCAACCAAGUGAACUGAUAAAGUGAUUUACGCUUCACUCAUUUUUCUAUGCAAUUUACAAAAAAAAUCUUAUCCGGCGCUUACCUACUUUCCAUUUUAUUUUCAGAAAGGACUUUUAAAGUAUUAUGAUGAUGUACGUGAGUGAUCACACGGCCACCAGAGUAUUUAUUGAAAAUGAAUAUUGUUAAUUUACACGUGUAUAGAUAUAUAAUAAAGAGUUUUUAUUCACCAGGCUUUUAAACUGCGUUGACACAGCUAUUUGAGGGUAAUGCUCUGGUGUCUUGAGUUAUGUGUGGUGGCUCUGAAGUACUGGUGGAAGAGAGUGUGUCGUGCAGAUUGAGCUUGGGCUGCAUUUAGACAGAUCAGAAUUGGCCUGCCUGUUUUUCACAUUGCUAUUUGGACCAAUCAGAUCUUUUUCAGAGCUGAUCUGGUCAAAAGAAAAAUUUAGUGAAAAAUAUCAAGGAUUUGGCUGCCUGUCUAAACGCAGCCCAUGAGUUGUCUGUGUGGUGACGCUAAUGCUAGAGCGCUACAAAUCAGUGUGUGCAGUGGACUAAAUGCCAUGGGACAGAUGAGAGUGAGCUAGUAUAGAGUUUUGGCUGGAUGAAAAGAUGAGGUAUAGAAAUACAAUGAUUAGAAUGGGCACAUGUAAGAUGUUGAUGACCAAACAAGAUAUGGAUUUUGUGUUGGUACUGUGCAGUAUGCUGCGUUUCGACCUGACUCAACACAUGUACAGUAUUGCUGACAGUCAAUGAUUUUUUUUUAUGAGGUCGACCCAUUCUGUUCAUUUUAUUUCUACGUUUCUGAUGUAUUGAAUGUGGCAGGCAGCUAACUGAGCUGUCUCCUCUGCGUUCUUCACUUUGCCCCUAAUUAUACCAACGCACAACCGAUGUGUCUCUCUCUCCUGUAUCAUUCUGACGUCUUUUCCAUUCACAGAAUGAGAAAUAGUGGCGUUGUUACAAAACCUUGAUGACAUGUGAAGAGAUGUGUUUUCUUGGAGAGUAUAAAAUAAACUGACAAGAACAUCUCUAGUCAAAAGCUUUUGAAAAAC